GCUAGCUGCUCAGAUUGAUUUUGACUGGAUACUUUAUUCUGUCAUGCAUUAAACAGUACUAGAAUAUGGUGAAUAUACCAAAGGUCACUGUUGUGGAUAUCUUCUAUCAUCCGAAGUACUUCAAAUCUCGUCGAUAUUAUUCCUGGCACACGCAUUGUGGCGGUUCUAGCUUUGAAGUUGGUUAAUGUUAUACCUGGGGUAAGAGAAGCUCAGCCAAAGUGCUAUCUUGAGGCGAUGAAUUUCUUUUUGGUUGUUCAUGCUCCAUUCAUUUGAAAAGAGUAUUAGUUUGGUAACACGACACACAAUGAUGUAUGGGAAAUUAGUUUGUAAAGAGUAGUAGUUUGAAAAGAGCUAAAUUCUUGUUGUAUUAGGUCUGUAACAUUUAAGCUCAGAAAUUAUCAGUUUAAUAGAUAUAUGACGAGGAUAAAAAUGUUGAAUGCAUUGAUAAAUGAAAUUUCUCAGCCACAGUUUUGUUGAGCGUCUGAACGUUUUAGAGAUUUCUGCAUACAAUCUUUCAUGUUGGAACUAAAUUGUCCCAGUUAUGCAUGUGAGUGUUGUGGUAGGGACAUGACGAGAUCGUGAUGACUGGAUUAAUUUACAGUUUAUUUGGGUACCCAUCAAGUUGGUGUUCGAAGCGGCCAAUAUUUUUGUCUACUCUGUUGUCUGCUUAGCUAGACGGUCACAUGUUCAGAACCACUCUUAACGACACAAUGAUCAUGGUAAUUGUUUCAUAGUUCUACGCCUUGUAGUUAUGCUUCUUCUAUACUCUCCUUGAACAUCUCCGUCGAUCGAAUAAUGCACUUUCCUGUUUGUAGAUUGCAAAUAUAUCUAUCUGAUGCUUCAAUGACAAAUCGAUGAUCAAUAGAUCAGGCUUUGUGCUUCAAAUCCGUCGGACCUCGAAGGCGAUGGCAAAGAUUUAUGCGGAUUUGGCUUUUGAUACGAAGCAUCCAUUCAUGUUCAUAAUCUGUUGUGAUCGUGCUUGCUUAAUUUUCUGUAGGUAUAUGCAACUUUUUCGGGAAUUUUUUCAACAAUUUCUUCAGUAAAACGAUCUUAUAUCAUUGGAAGUAACACCACUGGCUAGGUGGUGAUAAUAUUCGUCAUUUACAUGUUUUAUGACAUCCUAAUAAGCUCAAACCAAAAUAAUGGAGAUUAGGAACCUACCAUACACAGGAGGCGCCACGCCCUCCCAAUGAUGUUGUGGUAGUAUCGAGGAAGAUUCACCGGUCACCACGGUCGGCUACCUUGCACGUCACCACUACUAGCAAGUUCAUGCCAAUCGCUGGUCACCUCUUUUGUUAAGCAGUGCAAAUAAUGCUGAACAUUCUACCCAAUUUAUAGUGGAAAAUAGUAGAUCAUGCUAAAGGCAACUGCUACAUCAUUAGCAAUUCAAAAUCAACUAGGACUUUCAGAUAUGUUCUUGUUUACCAAAAAUUGAACAAGAGAAGUCCCACAAAACAGGGAAAUGGAUGAAUAAUUAUAAAGUAUAUGUUUAUGCAUGUCGUACAUCGAAACAAGAAAAGGACAUACAUGUAAACUAUGCCGGGUAACUUGCUUGGAUUCUUACCUGAUUUUGAGUUAACUCAUAACAAAUGCACAAUUAACUGUCUAUGAUUUUCCAUUCACACAAUGCAGCUAAUUAUUUAUCAUCAUCACAAGAAUCAAGAAACGCAUAAUAGCCAAACCACAAAAAACAAGGGCAAGGACAACACCAAACAUAUUCUUCAUAAUUAUAGGUUACGCCUGGAUUUAAUUGUGCAUAAGGCAACAAUUCCGAGAGUUACACCACAAUCACGUGCAUGACAACUGUAAUGUUAGCAAGAUUCUUGGAAGUCCUUAAAUUACAGAAGAUUUCCUCAAUAGUGAUUUUUCGUCUGUUAUCCUUUUUGCAUGGAGCCGUAGUUUCUUUAGCACAUUUUUGAAGGCCAGGUCUUGAUGAGUUUUAUGCACCGGAGCAAGGAUCUCUUCAAGUAAGCUGAAUCUUGAACCAGGGACGAAGAGCAUAAGAGAGGUGUGCGUCUCGGUGACCGAAAGAAUCCCCUCUAGAACUCGACGGCUAGGAUCAUAUGAGUAAACCUUUUUCUGAAACUUGUCGUGAACCAAGUGCUUGCUAGUCACAAUCACAAUCUUCUUCCCCGACUUGCAAUUGCCAAUAGUACCAAUAACCCUCAUAAUCUGUGGCUCGGCCAAUUUUCCUUCUACCUGCCCAAACAAAUCGAUUCGAUGAUUCAGCGACCAAUCAUCAGAGCCAUAAUCCAGCAGUCCCCAAAUCUCCAAGGUGCCGCCAUGAGGGAUUCCGUUGCGAAGAUCCCGGACAAUGCACCGCUGGUCAUCCAUCACAACCAGGUGCUCUCCUUCCGACUGGGAUGAGGAGCGCAGAUGCUCUCUUGGCCCCCAGAACGGCGGCGAACGGACACAUCCGAAGGUCUCCUCUGCGACAGAAAACGAUACGAUAGCAGCUCUUGGCCUUCUGAUGAUAAGUGAAGGAUUGACCAACCAGUGCAGGAACCCGUUGGCGGACACGGGUGAUAUUUUGUUCACCAUUGCAUGAGCAACUGCAGAAUUUGCAAACUGGGACCACUUGAAGGGUACUCCUCCAGCCGCAGGCCUCCAGCGGUCAGCUCCAGGUGUGUACACAUCACACCUGAUCGUCUCCUUAUCAUCAGAUAACCCAUUGAUCAACCUGACGACCUUGUACUCCCUUGUCCGGGCAUCAAAUCCCAGUCCGGCACUGGAAUCGUAUGUCGGAACACGGUGAGGUGGCAGACGCGUGAUCGCCCGUGUAGCCGCAUUGCAAACAUAGUAAGCCGGCGCGGCGGCGUCAUACAGGAGGGUGAGCCCGCAGCAUGGCGAGGGCGUCACCACUUCGACGGAGUUGCGGCGGGCGCAGUCGAAGGUGAAGAGUAGGUCGUCUACGGGGCUUGACGGCGAGCACGCGUACACAGCGACGGAGCCGAAUGUUGCUGCGGGCGAGAGCACGAGGAGCUUCGAAAGUUGCCUAAUCUGCAAAUGCAGGUGUAUGUUAAUUAUUGAUAUUCCAUCAGAUUUCUCUUAAAACCCAAGGAAAGUGUGAAUCAUGACUAUUAGAAAAAUUAAGGAGUAAUUGACUAGUUGGCUGGCAAAGUACUAAGUGCAUGGUACAGACAGAAACAUGCAUCAACAUGGAAGAAACUGAGCUCAGAACUGACUUCAGAUCUACAAAAUAGCAGUUUUCUGCAGUAUGCAAUGCAUAAACAGAGAUUCACGGCCAAUCAUCUUAGAAUGUGGCAAGAAAUACAUGCAUACCAACAGCUAGAGUCUAGAGAUACUAAGCAAUAACAGAACCCUCGAUCAAAUCUACAGUAACAUCACCAAUCAGGUCACGCUUGUAUGUUACAAAUCGAAGACUCAAAGGACCUCAGUGUGUUUCAAAAACCUUACCUCUCUUGCUCCCAGCUCAGUAAAGAAGUGGUCGAGCAAUGAACGCUUUGCCUCACAGACUUGGCAGUAGACAAUAGAUUUUGGAAUGGAGUUCCUCAAUGUUGAAGAUACCAUGUUAACAUAUGCCACAACAGUGAGGUUGAGUAGUAAAUACAAAUAAAAAUAUCUAUGAUCGGCAACAUUCAGCAGACAAGUGGUCUGAACACCGUAUAAACCCAUACCAUUAUAUAUGAUGAUAAUGAUGAUUGUGCUGCAUAAGUUCAGAUGGUUUAUGUGAAGAGUAACCCCACAAAGCAUAUUAAUCCUAAGUUCUUCUAAGCACAUCAGCUGCAGAAGAUGAACGAGGUGAGAAUCUUGUAUACUAAGUCUUGUGACAAUUUUGCUGAUUUGUUCACUAAAUCAUUACCGGCACCAUCCUUUGAGAGACGUGUGCCUGGAAUCGAUAUAAUAAGACUUAGGGAGAUGCAAGGUUCACAAACUCAUUGUUAAAAUCUCGGUCCCGAUGAUCGAGUACUCAACUUGAAGGUUGAGUGAAUUAUACUCUUUUUUCCUUGAGUGAGUAUUCCUGAUGUUUCUCACAUGAGGUUUUUGACGAGGCAAUUCGUGCAAUACAAUAACGCAUAUUGUGCGCUCUUUCUCCAUAUUUUUUCCACUGGGUUUUUUGGAGUCUUGACGUAUGGAUAUACGGAUAACUGUCCAAGGGGGAGUGUUGGGAAACCAACAGCCCACAGGACAGGGUGCGGCCUGGCUUGCCCGUUGCACCUCCUGUUGACCGAACGUUUUCCUCACUUAACGUUAUGUAGGUACUUAUCCCCUACCCCUAGCUAUAUAAAAAGGAGAGCACUCUUUGUAUGUAUAGUUGAUCAAUGAAUAAUAAACAGAGCUCUACCCCUACUUCUCUGUGUGAAUUUUACUUUCUAUACGUGUGUGUGAUCGACUACGCCUACGACACUUCCGCUGCAGAAGAUGUGUGCGUGCGACCUGGUGCGGAGCUGCCUUUGUUGGGAGGAAGGAAACAAACUAAUCAAUGUGUCUAUCCCUUGCCUUUUUUCUCCUCGCACAGUAAAUCGAUCGACGUGGCAUAGCCCAGUGAUGGUCCUCUACUUGCACUUGGAGAGUGUAAUUUGUAUAGUCUAGAUUUUUUUUAUUUGGUACAUUCAUAAUUACCCCUCGUAUUUAACAAAUGAAACAUACAACCUUUCUAGAAACUUUUAUCAGCAUUAGAUCUUUAUCCAUUGUAUUUAAGGGAACUAUAAUAGAAGCAUUUUGCAUCAAAUAUACAUGUUUUCCAUUCAUCUAGGUAGUACAAAUUAAUACAUGAAGACAUACAAUUUUUUCGCUAAUCUAAAAAAACAUACCAAUUAUAUUUUAGAAGUCUAAAUUUUUUAACAACUAGUAUUAGUACCAUUGGAAUAUAUACUUCAAAUUUAAAUCAAUUGUAUUUUUACCAUCAAGAACUAAAGUAUAUAAUGGUACUUCUGGAUCUUAAAAUUAGUUGCAUUAUUACUUGGUUCAUUUUGCGUAUAAUGAAAAUUAUAAUAGUUAAGAUCACAUAUCGAAAGAAUGGGUCAUAAUUAUAUAGAAAUAAAUAUGUUUAAUAUAAAUCAAUGAUGGUCGUCUAUUCAGUUCGUACCGGAUACACCAUGCUUGUGGGUCAGACAUCGACAAUGGUGAGUACAAUACUAAAUAAGUAAAUAUUAAUUUGUUGGAGAUCACCAUACCUACACAUCCGGUAGCAGCUCUAGGCGUAUGCAAUCAUGUAUGGGAAAUUAGUCUGUAAAGAGUAGUAGUUUGAAAAGAGCUAAAUUCUUGUUGUAUUAGGUCUGUAACAUUUGGGCUCAGAAAUUAUCAGUUUGGUGGAUAUAUGACGAGGAUAAAAAUGUUGAAUGCAUUGAUAAAUGAAAUUUCUCAGCCACAGUUUUGUUGGGCG
Molecule: long non-coding RNA, 5347 nt
Filed under: Triticum aestivum (bread wheat)
Lineage: Eukaryota; Viridiplantae; Streptophyta; Magnoliopsida; Poales; Poaceae
Description: long non-coding RNA (TAES_LNC010245)
Source: RNAcentral